Molecule: ribosomal RNA, 497 nt
Filed under: uncultured bacterium
Lineage: Bacteria
Description: partial 16S ribosomal RNA
Rfam family: Bacterial small subunit ribosomal RNA
Source: RNAcentral
GAUGAACGCUGGCGGCGUGCCUAAUACAUGCAAGUCGAGCGAACAGACGAGGAGCUUGCUUUUCUGACGUUAGCGGCGGACGGGUGAGUAACACGUGGAUAACCUACCUAUAAGACUGGGAUAACUUCGGGAAACCGGAGCUAAUACCGGAUAAUAUUUUGAACCGCAUGGUUCAAUAGUGAAAGGCGGUCUUGCUGUCACUUAUAGAUGGAUCCGCGCCGCAUUAGCUAGUUGGUAAGGUAACGGCUUACCAAGGCAACGAUGCGUAGCCGACCUGAGAAGGUGAUCAGCCACACUGGAACUGAGACACGGUCCAGACUCCUACGGGAGGCAGCAGUAGGGAAUCUUCCGCAAUGGGCGAAAGCCUGACGGAGCAACGCCGCGUGAGUGAGGAAGGUCAUCGGAUCGUAAAACGCUGUUAUUAGGGAAGAACAGAUGUGUAAGUAACUAUGCACGUCUUGACGGUACCUAAUCAGAAAGCCACGGCUAACUACGUG